UACGGAGGGUGCAAGCGUUGUUCGGAAUCACUGGGCUUAAAGGGCGUGUAGGCGGAUUGCAGGGUGCUGGGUGAAAUCCCCGAGCUCAACUCGGGAACUGCCCGGCAAACCGGCAGUCUUGAGGCAGGUAGAGGUGACUGGAACGACUGGUGGAGCGGUGAAAUGCGUAGAUAUCAGUUGGAACGCCUGUGGCGAAAGCGAGUCACUGGGCCUGUCCUGACGCUGAUACGCGAAAGCGUGGGUAGCAAACAGG
RNAcentral lists this ribosomal RNA (253 nucleotides) under uncultured bacterium. Its description in RNAcentral is "partial 16S ribosomal RNA". It matches the Rfam family "Bacterial small subunit ribosomal RNA", at positions 524 to 776 of the family's 1533-position model. The record is from RNAcentral.